Taeniopygia guttata (zebra finch) is the source of this 8751-nucleotide long non-coding RNA. RefSeq lists it as uncharacterized. The record is from RefSeq and is a predicted model, not a curated record. Lineage: Eukaryota; Metazoa; Chordata; Aves; Passeriformes; Estrildidae.
UUUAGAAGUGAAAAGCUCUUUUUUUUUUUUUCCCCCCCACAAUUUGGAACAUAAGUAUGAACAAUUGAUUUUGAUCUUGUAAGCCUUUAUAAAUGCUGAAGUUUAUAUCGAGUGGGUGCAGUGAGCUUAGUUUAAGAGGCAACUGAUAAGAGGUUUAUAUUCUAUGAGUAAAUGCUUGUUAGUUACAGAAUAUUUUUCAAAACCAGAAAAGAUUACAUUUAAGACAUGAACCUUUCACUGUAUAUGCCUCUUCUGACUUUUAGUAAGUGCUGUAUAUGGAUGUUGAUUUCUGAAAUAUAUGAGAAAUACUGGUUUGAUCUUGUCAAUUAAUUUCAGAAAUGCUCAGAAACUGGGUUCUUGGUUGCUGCAUUACCUUGGAACCAUUUCUGGAUCACUCUGUCUCAGGCUCAGAGGAUCUGGGUAUUAUUUUAAUUUACAUAGCUGUGGUCGGCAGAAGUUAGGGGUUGUUUUAAAGUCAGGAAGCAGGUAAACUUAGAAAGGAAGACUUAGAGUGGAGAGUGAUCCCAUUCUGGAAAAUGCUUGAUCACAUUUUCAAAUAAAAGUAAACACUCAAAUUAUUAUAAUGGAGAACUCAAGUACAGUGGCAGUCUCUCUAUACAAGAGACUGGCAGUUUGGGCUUCUAACAGCUCCAGCAUGUAUUGGUCUUACUGGGAAAGGUGAAGAAAAUCCUCAUGGCUUCAGGUCUGACUAGGGAUGGCCCUAUUUGAGAAGGUAUUUAAGCAUUUUAAAUGUGUUUUUCUUCACAGCAUGCUUGAUAUCACAUAUACAAUAUAAUGUAUGUGUGGCAGACUAAUGCUCUAUCUGGUUUGUCUGUUCUCAGUGUUGAGUGUAGCAGAGUCUGGAGGGAUCAGAGGCCAAGUCCUGGUCCUGCCCUGCUCCAGGGGAACUGGCCAGCAGAAUGGGAGAGUGGAUCCCCUGCAGAAGAGUGGAUGUGUAUUCUCAGCAGCCUGCAGCAGAAGGCACUGGCAGAGAGCUAAAAGAGGUGGGGAGUGUAGCAGGUGAUUGGGAACACCUCCUAGAAAAGCUGAGUGCAGGCGACAGACAAGCCUUGGAGGUGAGGACAGAGGGCACUUUCCAUGUACAGUAACCAAGAAAGGACAGAGCUUGCAGGAAAACAAGGAGCCAUGGACUAGAAAGCAUGACUGAGAACCAGGCUUCAUCCAGCAAUGAUUUAACUGGAGAGUAGAAGUCCUUGUAUUUUAAGCUGGUUUUCCAACCUCAAAGUUUCUCUGCUCAGGAAUUCUAGCCUGUUUUAAUCUGUUUUCAAAUAACAUUCAAUUCUAUAUUUUCACAGAGUAGUGCCUUUACAUUAAAAGAAAGCAGAUUUACCUCCUAGCCUUGGCUAAAUGACACUUCAUAGAAAAUGUCAUUUAAAGUAGGGCCUGUUAUUGGAAGGAUUUGAGUAAUGAUUGUCGAUGAUAUGAAUCAAAGUAACUCUAAAGUCUGAACAGCCCAAACAGAUACAAAAAGCCCCUGGGUGAUGACUGAAGAUCAGCUUUGUGAUUUUGUUAAUUUCUGUGCCAAUAAAUCCAAAACUGAGAACAGAUGUGGCAGAGCAAGAGUAGAGAUUUUCCUUUUCAAAGGAAAAAUCCUUUUCAUGAUUAAAGACUAACUUUGAGGCUCUUGUCAAUAGUUCCAAAAUUACGUUUGUCAUAACACUUUAUAGAAUGCUAAUGAUAAGCUAUUUAUUGUGUGUAAAAUGUCAGUUUAUUUCUUACUCUCUUCUUUUGAUCUAAUACUUCCUGAUCUGUUGAAGUCUCAUUAUUUAGGUCUCUGCAGUGAUUAUCCAGGGGAACCCGUGUAGCUGUGGAGAGAGAAGAUGUACAAGAAUGAGGUGCAGCACCUGUGGAACUGGUUGAGGGGUACAGUUGGCCCUGAAAUUAAGAAGCUCCUUAUAACUUUGAUCUGUUAUCAUAGUGGAAUCUUUGUUACUGAUUUAUGUAUUAGAUAUGUUGCACAGUUCCAGCUUGAGGCCAAGAAGGAGGUAAGAUUAAAUGAAGGGAUGGGAGAGAGAAGAGGCUGGGAACAAAGAGAUGGUUUCAGGGCAGGAGAAGACUUUCCUUCCAGGAGGCUGUGGCUGAUUGUGCCAUUUUGUUCCUGCACACACAGGACAGGGCUGAGUAACUGCAGUACCGAAUGGGGGCAUUGCCUUAGUGCCACCCAGGGAGGAACUGAUGUUGGAAAAGCUGGAUUCUGCCCUGGCUCACUGGGUGUUGGGAGGGAAGAGGGAAAUGCAGCCUAAACUCCUGUAUGUAUGGCACCUGCAUUCCAGUUUCAGUUGCAGUCAGCAUUUCACCGUUAAGCCAAAGGUGAGCAGUGCUGCUGAGGAGCACUGACAGUCCCUUCCUGUGUCUCAGCCUGGCUGCUGUGCUCAUGCUCAGAGCACACCCGGUACAACAGGAGGUUAAGGGCCCACAUGCAGAAGUAAAAGAUCAGAGCUCACCCACAGAGCUGUUGGGUAGGAGACUGCUCCUCUCUUUUGAGGAGCAGCCCUCUCCACAAUAUAGUUUUCAAGCUAAAUCUCUGUAGCUUAUUAUUGCUUCAAAAGUAAAUUCUGGCCAAAUAAGAAUUUUCAGUUAAUUUACUGCUAUCCAUCAAACUCUGCAUGGGAUUUUGUCUGUUGUGAGAAAACAUGGGUAGGUAAGAUUGUAAUACACAUGUUCUGUAAGAAUCCACUAAGAUCCGUUUUAAACUUCCUAAAUAACAGCAAGUUCCUAAAUAUGGCAAGUUCCUAUUGGAGCUUGCCAUAAAAAAAUCUGAGUUAGAAGCAGUCCCAAAUAAAUAAAAACAUGUUGGGGCAAAACUUUUUUUGUUUUUUAAUUUCAUUAAGGCAUUUCUAAGGACUCAGGCAUAAAAUCAUCAUCAAACUUGUACCACUCAAAAGUUGAAUUCAGGCAUAAUCCAUCUUUUUGCAGAUCUUUACAAAUCCUUGAGUUGAUAAUACUCUCUAAUUUACUGACUGGGAAGUAAGUAAUGCAUCAUCCUUCUAUUUGUUUUUCCAGUUGUCAGAGUAUGGAUAGUGGUAAAAUAUUUACAUAAAUUCUGAAACAAAUAAUUGUAGAUAAACUUUUCUUACUAUGCUCACAAUAGACACACACAUAUCCCACCUGCAUUUCUGUGAAUACCAUUUAGCAUUGGAAACAAAUUUAAAUCCUGCUUUUGACUAACAAUUAUUAUACUGUAGGAAAUUUAAAGCAAUGAGUGGAUUUUUUUUUCCCUGUUUAAAGAGUAUAUGUAAGUUAGAACUGAAGUAGCAUGUAUCUCACACAAAGCUGGACUUAAUUUAAUGGAGUUAUUUCUUAAGGCUCAACGGCUGCCCUCAAACCACGGGUUAUUGAUUUAUUGGAAAAAUAAUCCUGGUGUGCUGAGAGCUGCACUGCCCUCGGCUGUAAGUCCUUGUUAAAAUCAGAUGAUAAGAAGUCAUGGAAGGAGAAGAAGCUCGUAAGUAUUUUUCUUGCCAGGUCUAUCUGUGUUUGCCCAGGCGCUACUCAGACAGGGGUGAUGGAUGCAGUGUGGCGGUGCCAGUGCAGCACCCGCAGCUCCCCCUGUGACCGCGCAGUCCCCAGGAAACUUCACUUGGCAGAGGCCUGGGUAAGUUACCCGGCUUGCAAGUUUGAUCAGGCUGGUUUGGGUCUAGUUCUGACAAAUCUUCAACACCUCCAUGGCCUCUGCCAAUGUGUGGCUGCCCUUCCCACAGAAAUUCUUGCUGUGUGUGCGACUGGUUGCACGUGUCUCUGCUGUCCUGUCAGCGCUGCCCUUUGGCCGGUGCCUGAGAAGAGCCUGGCUGUGGCCGCCCGUCUCCAGGCGGGUGUGUGCUCCAGCCCUGCUCGGCUGUGCCCGCCCGUCUCCAGGCGGGUGUGUGCUCCGGCCCUGCCCGGCUCCAGCCCUGCCCGGCUGUGCCAGCCCGUCUCCAGGCGGGUGUGCUCCAGCCCUGCCCGGCUCCGGGCUCUCCCCGUCUUUUCCGUCCUGGGCAUGCCGGGCUGGAGGCAGAAGCGCGGCGGGGCGAGGGAAGGGAACGCUCGGCAUUCCCGGCCCGCUGGCUCUGUAGUUUGCACCCACUGCCCCAAGGGUGCACUGCUGGCCCGUGUUCACCCUUCCCUCGCUCAGCCCCAGCGGCAGCUUCUCCCCUGCCUUGGCAAGCAGCGCUGACCCGGGAGUGACCGGGUUUGUUCCGCUCUCACCCUCCGCUGUCAGCAUGGCUGGGUCCCUGGAAAACUCUUCCAGAGAGAGGGAGCUGAGGGCGCUCUUGGACUCCUUCAGAUUACGUUCGUAGCAGAAGGAGGAGUUAGAAACACAAGAGUACCUUUCAUCCAAAACACACAGUGCCUUGGAACACUCGAGCACUGUUUGAACAAUGCAAGUGGCCACUUGCUGCAGUGUAAAGUGUUUGAAAGACUGAAUGCUGAUUCCCAAGUUAUGACCUUUGGUAACAUUUUUAAAAGCUCUCCACUGUUCCCCUGACACAGGAAGUCUUACAACAGACAUCAGCAGCUAAUCAGGGUACUGUUAAGCUGGCUAAGGAGGAUUUUCUUUCCUGGAGAUUUUCAUCAAGUGAAGGGGUUUAGACUACCAGGAAGAUGUUGGUUGUUUCCAGUGCCCCAUUUCUUUUUUUCCCCACCCAGUGGGUGAUCAGAAUAGAGAGAUAUCUUACCAGAUGCAAUAUUUUCAGAGGGAGGAACACUUAACUAGCAAUACUUCUAUAGUUAAACAAAAGUAGAGUUAUAGCCAAGCAGAUUCUUUACACCCACACAUUCUAUAUUUUUCAUUAGGUUUAUUCAUAGUUUUGCCAUUGACAGAGAAAUAACUUUAAACAUUCUUCCUCAUAGGAAACAAAUGGCCUAGUUAGGGCUUCCUGAGCAGACAGUCUUUGUUUAUUGAGUUUUACACGUGUUAUAUAACUCCUCUUAUCACACAUUUAGGAAUUCAAAGGCAGGUUUCUACCCUGAAGGCCUCUGAUAACAUUCUAUUUUCUCUUGUAUUUUUCCUACCUACAGUUUCCAACUUUGUGGCACUAUUAAUAUACUCCAUCAAUAAUUUUAGCCAGUCUCUUCAAAUAACAACAAAACCUAACUUUGAUGAUAGAGGCUAUUUUCCAAUAUAUAAAUCCUCUGUGUUUUGUAACCAAUUUAUUAUUAAUAUCUCAUUUCCCAUGGAUUAUUAUGUUCAAACCUUAUUCAGUGGCAGCAUAGAGCCACUAUCUGGCAAUAAUUAGGGUUUCCCAUGGAAAAUUUAAAAUAAGUAUACUGAAACCCACUAUCAGUGGGUUGUAUCCUUUCAGAGGAUGAUACUUUAUCAAGUUCUGUAUCCUUUCAGAGCAGAUUUGCACAAACUGUUUUAUAGCAAAGUGCACUUUCAUUAUUUGCGAUCAGCUGUAUUUUGAAUGUGAAGAAUUGGAAUUCUUUGUACUUUAAUGAAAACAGUGGUCAUAUUUUUGCUAAGAAAGACUUCUAAUUUCAUUGUUUUCAGACUCACAGCAGUGCCUGUUUCUUUGGUAGCUACAGCCCAUCUCUCCAGGGGCACCUUCUGCAGUAACCCCAAGCCAGACCCAUCCCUCCAGCUUCCAUGUCUCCCCAUUGUCUCCAAGCAGAGGCUUUUAUCUGCUGUCUGCAGGCUCAGCCUUCUUCUCAGACUCCUGUAAUGUCUGCUAAAGAUACUUGUGCAGAUAAAAUCAGCACUACAUUUGGAUACCUUCCAGCUUUGGAGAGGGCAAGGUCUCUUACUUGGAAAUUCAUCAACAACCACUGUUUUUUCCCUCUAAACUCCAGUUCAUAUGCUGUCAAUUAAUUUCCAGGUGAUUUCAAAUUCUUCCUGAAACAGAAGGUUCACAAAACCUUCUGUGCAUUGACAUGACUUAUGAGGCAGCAGAGCUGUGGAAAAACCUCACUGCAGGAUGUUUUGGAACAGCCCUCUGCAGUUCAUCCCAGCCGUGGAGAGGUCCUGCAUUGCUCUCCUCUCCUUACAGCACCAGGAAAGCCAGGUAGGGCUGGAGCAGGGACCAGUGCUGUGAACUGAGCUGUGGGGCAGGAUUAGAUCUCCAAUUUCAUCUCAGACUUUUUGUCACUUCAGUUCUCCAACUGGAAAUAAGGAAUAAUGUCUUGCUGUAUUGAGUGCAAGUUGGAGAAAGAAGUCCAGGAAUGAUUGUGAAGCAGCCUGGUGCUGUGGCGGGGCUGGCACAGUGCUCGGGGACAUCGUGUGCUAUCACACAGCUGAACAGACAGCAGGAGAUGUCAGCCAUUGUUUUAUUAAAACUGGAGAACUUGUAGGCUGGGAUAUCCAUUCUGCAGUUCCCCAGCACUGCCUGCUCUGCCAGGUUAGACAGUCUGAGUGCAGGAGGGAACACCCCUGAGGAAGAUCCGUAACUUCCUUUAGGUUCUGUGGCAUACUGAGCACUCUCUGGCGCAUCAUUAGCAGCCUUCCUUCACUACAGGAUCUUAGUGAUUAAAACCUCUUUAAUUACAUGAGGCCUCUUGAGAAAUAUUAUCUAAAAAAAUUAGCAAAGAACAUCAGAAACUGAGUUACCUAAGCAGCUGAAAGAGUUUUUUUAAAUCAAUCUAAGUAAGCAGAUAGAGACCAGUUAAAAGUGGAAAUAACCUUUUGUCAAAUGUGAUAAUUUUAAGAUUUCAGAUUACUGACUAAUCAUCACUAAUUAAGAUGUUAACAGAGCACUUGUUUCUGUGCCUGAACUCUUCCAAAGAUGUGGCAGAUGUGUAUUUUUCCUGCAUUGUUUUUAAUUUCUAUUUUUUUCUCCAAUCUGACAAUCACCAAAUCUAAAAAAUAUUGGUCCUAGGAGUGGGAGAAAAUUUUGUCGUAUUGUUUUUCACUUUUCAUUUUUUGUUGGAGUUUGGUUUUUCAGAACAUCUUGUUAAUUUCAGAUGUAGGUAAAACAUUGACAAGUGUAUGGGUUUUGGGUAUUUUGAGGGCCUUUUUUUUUAAAGUGCUGUGUCCUUAUUAAUAGACCUUUAUGCUAAGCCAGAUGACAUUUAGAAAGGUUUCUAUCAUGUCUUUCUGGCCCAGUGAUAAACUUAAAAAAUCCCAAGGAACAUAUAUAGUUAUGGAGCUAUAAAAGCAUCUGCGUCUUCUCUGAAAUAAGAGAUUACCAAGUUUCUGGAAAUAUGGAUAAAUGCAAGGGACCAAAUCACUUGACAGGUUUAUUAAGUCCAACUCACUAAUACAUUUCCUCAGUACCAUUGUUAGAUGUUUUGAAAUCUUAUUAAUAUUAUUAAUAUUAUUUGUCUGAAAAAAAGAACUUAUGUUCCUGUACUUGAUGGACUGUCCAAGAAGGAGAAAAAGAUGCAACAGACAGGUGGUUUGAAGACACUCAAAAAUUAUUUGUUAGAGCAGGAUCUUGUUUGUGUUAUGUGAAUGUAGACAAAAAUGUGUGCAAAGAGCAUCCUGCCAGUAGGUUGUGAUGAAGAUGUCAAAACAAAGUGGGAAUUUGAAAGGGCACAACUGCUGGCUACUGGAGCUACAACCAAAGGUUUGUCAGAAAGACAUUCAUGGCUAAGGCUUGACCCAGCUGCAGUGCAGAAGGUCCCUGUGUCCCUGUGAGCAUGGCUGGGAGCCUGUGUUCAUGAGACUAUUCAAAGUGUUGUGAGCAUCCUCUCACGUGUUCACUAUACUCUGCAGUAAUGGUCCUUUCCCCUGUGAGGACCAGAGCCUGCUGAAAAUCAGUAGAUCUAUGGAACAAGUGGGAUCCUGCAGUGAAGGAUCUGAGCCUGGCAGUGCCAGCAUUGCCCAGAGAGGAGGGAAUAACACCCUGCAGUUCCCCACAGCAAGUUUCUAUCACUUGUGGCAACUUGUUCACUGAUAAUGACCACAUCUAGGAGCACAACAAAGGUUUCCAAACACUCAUGUGAAGGGAAUUGGUUUGAUAGACAAACGCUUGCAACAAAUACUUUUUUUUUUUUUUUUUGGAAUUUGCUAUUUUUCUGCUUUGUAUUUUCGUUGCACACAAGAAGUAUUACCUACAGUACAAAAUGCUUACUACUCUUUUUUUAUGUUUCAUCUUCUCAGCUAUUUUUUCCUCAUACUUUUAAAUUGAGAGACUGCGAUUUAUACUAUGGGAUUUGAUUCUCUAUUUUUUUUUUCUUCACUUCUCUUUUAGGGGCCUAACCUAUUCAUAUGUGUGCAGCAAAACUUUAUCCCUUUCCAAAGAACAAGUCUCCAUAUUAAAAACAGUAAGAGUUUGUACUUGCUUAGACACUUUAUUAUUAACUUUGCAGUACUUUAUAGAUACCAGUUAAUUAAGUUCCACAGAAGUACUGUUGCAGCAUAGGCAGGGAUGAGCGAGUUGAUAAACAGAGUGGAAGCGUGGUUUCCCUAAAUUCCUAAUGGGAUGAAGCCAGCUUUGUGAUGGUUUUUUUAGCCCCUUUAUAGAGGUUUAUGUAAUUUAAAAUUCUCCUGUUCAGUGUUCCAUUUUUCUAGCAUGUACAAGUGAGGAUUGAAAUGCACAUCAUAGAGGUGAUCAUUUCAUUUGUGAGAGACUGAGUUAUAACGACAUUUCCUUUACCUCUUCUUGAUUGGUCCUUUUGACUUUCUAACUUUAGCUUCAUCUUUCUUCUGUGCCUCAGUACUAUAAAUAUCCCUAUUGCUAAAUUGCUCUAUUUUCUAAAAUCACAUCUAGAUCUUUUCUCUUGAUGUUAUCAAUGUUAUCCACAUCUGGUGUCCUCCUCUCUGAGUUUGUGUACUUUACUUGCUUACAAGGAAUUAUUAAAGCUGCUUAUGGUGAA